ACUGGUCAUAGCAAACACCCUCUUCCAACAACACAAGAGAAGACUGUACACAUGGACAUCACCAGAUGGUCAACACUGAAAUCAGAUUGAUUAUAUUCUAUGCAGCCAAAGAUGGAGAAGCUCUAUACAGUCAGCAAAAACAAGAUCAGGAGCUGACUGUGGCUUAGAUCAUGAAUUCCAUAUUACCAAAUUCAGACUGAAAUUGAAGAAAGUAGGGAAAACCACUAGACCAUUCAGGUAUGACCUAAAUCAAAUCCCUUAUGAUUAUACAGUGGAAGUGAGAAAUAAAUUUAAGGGACUAGAUCUGAUAGAUAGAGUGCCUGAUGAACUAUGGACAGAGGUUCGUGACAUUGUACAGGAGACAGGGAUCAAGACCAUCCCCAUGGAAAAGAAAUGCAAAAAAGCAAAAUGGCUGUCUGGGGAGGCCUUACAUAUAGCUGUGAAAAGAAGAGAAGCGAAAAGCAAAGGAGAAAAGGAAAGAUAUAAGCAUCUGAAGGCAGAGUUCCAAAGAAUAGCAAGAAGAGAUAAGAAAGCCUUCCUCAGCGAUCAGUGCAAAGAAAUAGAGGAAAACAACAGAAUGGGAAAGACUAGAGAUCUCUUCAAGAAAAUCAGAGAUACCAAGGGAACAUUUCAUGCAAAGAUGGGCUCAAUAAAGGACAGAAAUGGUAUGGACCUAACAGAAGCAGAAGAUAUUAAGAAGAGCUGGCAAGAAUACACAGAAGAACUGUACAAAAAAGAUCUUCAUGACCCAGAUAAUCACGAUGGUGUGAUCACUGACCUAGAGCCAGACAUCCUGGAAUGUGAAGUCAAAUGGGCCUUAGAAAGCAUCACUACGAAAAAAGCUAGUGGAGGUGAUGGAAUUCCAGUGGAGCUAUUUCAAAUCCUAAAAGAUGAUGCUGUGAAAGUGCUGCAUUCAAUAUGCCAGCAAAUUUGGAAAACUCAGCAGUGGCCACAGGACUGGAAAAGGUCAGUUUUCAUUCCAAUCCCAAAGAAAGGCAAUGCCAAAGAAUGCUCAAACUACCGCACAAUUGCACUCAUCUCACACGCUAGUAAAGUAAUGCUCAAAAUUCUCCCAGCCAGGCUUCAGCAGUAUGUGAACUGUGAACUUCCUGAUGUUCAAGCUGGUUUUACAAAAGGCAGAGGAACCAG
Long non-coding RNA from Bos taurus (domestic cattle), 1149 nucleotides. The record is from Ensembl. NCBI's taxonomy places the organism in Eukaryota, Metazoa, Chordata, Mammalia, Artiodactyla, Bovidae.